RNAcentral lists this ribosomal RNA (648 nucleotides) under uncultured bacterium. Its description in RNAcentral is "bacterial SSU rRNA". It matches the Rfam family "Bacterial small subunit ribosomal RNA", at positions 397 to 1050 of the family's 1533-position model. The record is from RNAcentral.
CCGCGUGGAGGAUGAAGGUCUUCGGAUUGUAAACUCCUGUCAUGCGAGAACAAGAAAGUGAUAGUAUCGCAAGAGGAAGAGACGGCUAACUCUGUGCCAGCAGCCGCGGUAAUACAGAGGUCUCAAGCGUUGUUCGGAUUCAUUGGGCGUAAAGGGUGCGUAGGCGGCGUGGAAAGUUGAGUGUGAAAUCCUAGGGCUUAACCUUAGAACUGCACUCAAUACUCCCAUGCUAGAGGAAUGUAGAGGAGAGUGGAAUUCACGGUGUAGCAGUGAAAUGCGUAGAUAUCGUGAGGAAGACCAGUUGCGAAGGCGACUCUCUGGGCAUUUCCUGACGCUGAGGCACGAAGGCCAGGGGAGCAAACGGGAUUAGAUACCCCGGUAGUCCUGGCAGUAAACGGUGCACGUUUGGUGUGGGCGGGUUCAGACCCCGUCCGUGCCGGAGCUAACGCGUUAAACGUGCCGCCUGGGAAGUACGGUCGCAAGAUUAAAACUCAAAGAAAUUGACGGGGGCCCGCACAAGCGGUGGAGUAUGUGGCUUAAUUCGAUGCAACGCGAAGAACCUUACCUGGUCUUGACAUGCAUCUCUAAGUUAAUGAAAGUUAGCGAGUCAGUAGCAAUACUGACAAUUUGCACAGGUGCUGCAUGGCU